CGCGGUAAUUUGACCGUGCGAAGGUAGCAUAAUCAAUAGUCUCUUAAUUGGAGGCUGGAAUGAAUGGUCGUACAAGAAGUAGUCUGUCUUUUUUAUAAAAAUUGAAUUUAACUUUUAAGUGAAAAGGCUUAAAUUUUCUGAGGGGACGAUAAGACCCUAUAAAACUUUACAUGAGUUAGGUUGGUUUAAAAAUUUAAGUAUAAAAAGAACUAUUUUUAUCUUGUUACGUUGGGGCGACGAAAAUAUAAAUUGUAACUGUUUGUUGUUUUGAAAUAAAAGUAUUUAGUUAUGUUGAUCCUUUAUUAUGGAUUAUAAGAAUAAGUUACUUUAGGGAUAACAGCGUGAUUUUUUCUGAGAGUUCUUAUCGAAGAAAGUAGUUGCGACCUCGAUGUUGAAUUAAAGUUUCGUCAAGGUGUAGGAG
This 421-nucleotide ribosomal RNA is filed under the name Heterogenys microphthalma. Its description in RNAcentral is "partial 16S ribosomal RNA". It matches the Rfam family "Bacterial large subunit ribosomal RNA", at positions 1932 to 2561 of the family's 2925-position model. Lineage: Eukaryota; Metazoa; Arthropoda; Malacostraca; Decapoda; Oplophoridae. The record is from RNAcentral.